Molecule: ribosomal RNA, 301 nt
Filed under: uncultured bacterium
Lineage: Bacteria
Description: partial 16S ribosomal RNA
Rfam family: Bacterial small subunit ribosomal RNA
Source: RNAcentral
CAGCAGCCGCGGUAAUACGUAGGUCCCGAGCGUUGUCCGGAUUUAUUGGGCGUAAAGGGAGCGCAGGCGGUUUAGUAAGUCUGAAGUUAAAGGCAUUGGCUCAACCAAUGUAUGCUUUGGAAACUGUUAGACUUGAGUGCAGAAGGGGAGAGUGGAAUUCCAUGUGUAGCGGUGAAAUGCGUAGAUAUAUGGAGGAACACCGGUUGCGAAAGCGGCUCUCUGGUCUGUCACUGACGCUGAGGCUCGAAAGCGUAGGUAGCGAACAGGAUUAGAUACCCCAGUAGUCCCUGUCUCUUAUACC